AUGUUCCCCCUUAAUCUUGAUUCUUCAAUCUUCGAUGUGGAUCACCUGCUGCCACUUGACGACGCCAUCGUAGCGCCGCAGCCACUUGCCAUUGUUGAAGCUGUCAUGGCGCCAAUUGCCAUGGACCAUCUUGUCGUGGAUGAUGUCCUCGCGACGCCGAUCACCACACCAUCAUCAUCCUGCGGCAUCGCACCGCAUCUCCUUGUACCGGCCUCGCACCGUCGUCAUGGCAGCCUCGCACCACCGUCUCCUCCUAGCGGCAUCACACCGCAACCACAUGUUCGCGCGGCAUCACACCGCCGAACACCUCCUUGUCGUGGACGACGCCAUCGCAGCGCCAGUCAACACGCAACAUCAGCAUCGAGCACCACACACCAUAUUGUCGGCGACGACACCAUCGCGGUGCCGAUCACCAUGCCGACUUGCUGCUCACAGCGGCCACUUCUUGACGUGGAUCACGCCAUCUUUGUCUCACGGCAUCGCACCGCAACCGUCCGCCGGCGACAUCGCGCCACCGGCAGUCUCCACCUCGCGCCGCCGUCCUCCACCUCACAUGGAGUCGGUCGCAUCGUCGUCGUCGCCGCAUCGGAUCGACGAGGCUCUGAUACUAAUUAUUGGCGCCGCCUCCUCGCAGCGCCGCUCUUCUUCCUCCUCGAGCUGCCUCGCACAACUCUCCUGAGGUUUCUCUCUCUUUCUUUCUUCUCUCGCUGGUUGUUUCUCUCAAGAACAUAG
Molecule: ribosomal RNA, 732 nt
Filed under: Triticum aestivum (bread wheat)
Lineage: Eukaryota; Viridiplantae; Streptophyta; Magnoliopsida; Poales; Poaceae
Description: partial small subunit ribosomal RNA
Source: RNAcentral